CUUCCCUCUCUGGUCUGAACUCUGAAGCUGUUCUGCCAUCGCCUCUCUUUCUCUGAGUUUUCAAACUCUCUCCCUCUGUCUCUGUCUCUGUCUCUGUCUCUCUCUCUCUCUCGAAAUCAUGCCCCAAUCGGGAGGCUACGAGAUCGUGCUGUUUGCCGGCGCCGGCGGCAUGGACCGUGUGACGGAUAUGGCGGACUCGGUCAGGGCGGUGGAGAAGCUUCUGGACUACAGUUUCAAGAACAAGAAGCUGUUGGAGGACGCGCUGACUCACAGUUCGUACGCCGAGUCAGAGUCGUACGAGCGGCUGGAGUUCGUCGGCGACGCCGCCUUGGGGCUGGCCGUCUCUAACUAUGUGUUCCUGGCGUAUCCGGACCUCGACCCCGGCCAGCUCUCUCUCCUUCGCGCCGCCAACAUCAGCACCGAGAGGCUCGCUCGCGUCGCCGUCCGACACGGCCUCUACCGAUACGUCCGCCACAAUGCCGUCUCUCUCUACGAUAAGGUGAGAGAUUUUGUGUUGGCGGUAAAGGAAGAGGAUGAGUCCGUGGUGUAUGGUGGGACAAUGAAGGCCCCAAAAAUUCUGGCCGACAUUGUUGAGUCUGUGGCUGCAGCUGUUUAUGUUGAUUGCCAGUUUGAUUUGCAAGCUCUUUGGGUGGUAAUUAGAGAUCUACUGGAGCCUAUUGUUACACUCGAAGUCCUCCAGAAACAACCACAGCCAGUGACUAUGCUUUUUGAGUUGUGCCAAAAAAAUGGAAAGCAGGUUGAUAUCAAGCAUUUGAGGAAAGGGGAGAAAGAUAUUGCAAGUGUUUACGUGGAUGGGAAAUUGAUUGCCUCAGGUUCGUCUGACCAGAAGGAAAAUGCAAAGCUUCAUGCUGCAAAGGCUGCUUUAGACAAAUUAUCUCACUCGAAAACUAAUGACAAAACGGGUGAUGAUAUUUACAACAGCAUCAAUGGGACAUUUGAGAUCAAUGCAGCAAAGCAAAAACUGCAUGAGCUCUGUGGGAAAAAAAAAUGGCCAAAACCAAGUUACAGAUGAGCUGGAGGCAUGCUUUUGGAGUGAAAAUAUGAACACUUAGAAGGACUAUGGUGAACAUUUCAUCAGAUGGCUUUAAGGUCAUUUGAUCUCUUGUCUAUCAGGAUAAGAAGAUGCUGGGGACUACGGUGGACAUUUCGUUAGAUGGCUUUAAGAUUAUUUGAUCUCUUAUCUAUCAGGAUAAGAAGAUACUGGAGGCAUAUUUAUUGGACAUGGGCAACUGUUUGAACCUGUGCUAAGAUGUUGGCCAUUUGAAUGUUCACUGAUGCUGCUUCAGUUAGAGCAAAGCAAUUAAACAAGAAUCCAGAGUGAGGUUGGUCCUGCUCACGAGAAGAAAUUCGCUUGUUCAGUUCAAGUUGAAACUCCAAACUGCCUGCUAUUUGUGGAAGGGGAAGAGAAAACAAGAGUUAAAGAUGCCGAGAACUCUGCUGCUUCAAUGAUGAUUCA
RNA transcript from Diospyros lotus (date-plum), 1477 nucleotides. It is a transcript of the gene named ribonuclease 3-like protein 2, with no coding region annotated. The record is from RefSeq and is a predicted model, not a curated record. The transcript is spliced from 5 exons. Lineage: Eukaryota; Viridiplantae; Streptophyta; Magnoliopsida; Ericales; Ebenaceae.